GACGAACGCUGGCGGCGCGCCUAACACAUGCAAGUCGAACGAGCGAGAGAGAGCUUGCUUUCUCAAGCGAGUGGCGAACGGGUGAGUAACGCGUGAGGAACCUGCCUCAAAGAGGGGGACAACAGUUGGAAACGACUGCUAAUACCGCAUAAGCCCACGACCCGGCAUCGGGUAGAGGGAAAAGGAGCAAUCCGCUUUGAGAUGGCCUCGCGUCCGAUUAGCUAGUUGGUGAGGUAACGGCCCACCAAGGCGACGAUCGGUAGCCGGACUGAGAGGUUGAACGGCCACAUUGGGACUGAGAGACGGCCCAGACUCCUACGGGAGGCAGCAGUGGGGAAUAUUGCACAAUGGGGGAAACCCUGAUGCAGCGACGCCGCGUGGAGGAAGAAGGUCUUCGGAUUGUAAACUCCUGUUGUUGAGGAAGACAAUGACGGUACUCAACAAGGAAGUGACGGCUAACUACGUG
This 466-nucleotide ribosomal RNA is filed under the name uncultured bacterium. Its description in RNAcentral is "partial 16S ribosomal RNA". It matches the Rfam family "Bacterial small subunit ribosomal RNA", at positions 28 to 507 of the family's 1533-position model. The record is from RNAcentral.